Long non-coding RNA from Epinephelus moara (kelp grouper), 367 nucleotides. RefSeq lists it as uncharacterized. NCBI's taxonomy places the organism in Eukaryota, Metazoa, Chordata, Actinopteri, Perciformes, Serranidae. The transcript has 3 exons. The record is from RefSeq and is a predicted model, not a curated record.
GGCUUUUGGGAGGCAGAUUUUAUUUACCGUGCCCGAGGAAAAACUUCUAAUGAUAGGAUUUCCAACACAAGCAUUUGGCAGAGGAGCGCUCAGCGCCUGUAGGGGAAAGCAAACUGGUUUGUGGUGUGAAAGGGCAUGACAGGAAGGGGAUGACACGCAGGAAAGUGCUGCAGGCUGGGAUCGAACUCAGGGUCGCCAUAGCAAGAACACUGCCCCUGCAAAUGGGAUGCCUGCCCCACCCACAAAGCCACCAGGCGCCUCAACUCUGAGUCAUUUUAAAGCACUGGAGCUGCAAGUGUGGCCAACUCCUGACGAGCGGCAGGAUUAACAGCACAAAAAUAAACCACACUACCUUCAGGGCAGGGCA